RNAcentral lists this ribosomal RNA (548 nucleotides) under uncultured Glomeromycotina. RNAcentral's name for it is "SSU rRNA". It matches the Rfam family "Eukaryotic small subunit ribosomal RNA", at positions 548 to 1098 of the family's 1831-position model. Lineage: Eukaryota; Fungi; Glomeromycota. The record is from RNAcentral.
UUGGAGGGCAAGUCUGGUGCCAGCAGCCGCGGUAAUUCCAGCUCCAAUAGCGUAUAUUAAAGUUGUUGCAGUUAAAAAGCUCGUAGUUGAAUUUCGGGAUCAGAGUGUCGGUCGUGCCUCGGUACGUACUGGUAUUAUUGGUUCCUACCUUCUGAAGAACCGCGAUGUCAUUAAUUUGGUGUCGUGGGGAAUCAGGACUGUUACUUUGAAAAAAUUAGAGUGUUUAAAGCAGGCUUACGCUUGAAUACAUUAGCAUAGAAUAAUGAAAUAGGACGUUUGAUUCUAUUUUGUUGGUUUCUAGGAUUGACGUAAUGAUUAAUAGGGAUAGUUGGGGGCAUUAGUAUUCAAUUGUCAGAGGUGAAAUUCUUGGAUUUAUUGAAGACUAACUACUGCGAAAGCAUUUGCCAAGGAUGUUUUCAUUAAUCAAGAACGAAAGUUAGGGGAUCGAAGACGAUCAGAUACCGUCGUAGUCUUAACCAUAAACUAUGCCGACUAGGGAUCGGAUGAUGUUAAUUUUUUAAUGACUCAUUCGGCGCCUUACGGGAAAC